CUCCUGAAAUGGUACAACAAAUGAUCAUUUAUACUUUUUUUGCUUUGGGCUCUCAGAAAUUAUGAUGGAAAUCUUAAAAUUAACACCACUGAUGGCAGUUCUCUGCCUAUCAGUGCUAUUGGAUCAAGUGUCAGGGAAGAUGAUCGCGAAGGGGCCUAAAGUGGGAUGACUCUUUCCUCUUCACGUUUUUCCUUCCACUAUCAUUCCUAGUUUUCCUUUACUUUCCUUUACAUGUAAUGUUGUUGGUUCUGGAAAUAAGAUGUGGCAUAUACGUU
Molecule: long non-coding RNA, 275 nt
Organism: Juglans microcarpa x Juglans regia
Lineage: Eukaryota; Viridiplantae; Streptophyta; Magnoliopsida; Fagales; Juglandaceae
Exons: 3
Source: RefSeq, a predicted model, not a curated record